AUCUGUUAAUGGCUUCUCCUUUUGCCUGCUGCCCAGGAGCUUUUCACUCUUCUGCUGCUCUCUGACUGGUAUCUUUCCACGAGGCUUCAGUGUGUGAGAUCCACUUUUAGGCACCAGAACGCCCAGACACAUGCAAGAAAUAAGUGUGUGCUUCUCUCCCACGUCACUCUGCUUCUGACACUUGUCAUGACGGGGAGGACUUAAUGUUGGAAGUUGGAAAAAAAACCCCAAAACACAGCCCAGUAGCAGGGAAACACAGAGAGGAGAAUCAAGCAUCAUCAUCCAUCCUUGCAGCUUGCAGAGGUCUUGCAGUAUCCACAGCAGACUGAAGAGUGAGGAUGAAGAUUUCAGAGAGCUAUGACAUGCCAAACCAGGAGUAACAACUUCUGGACCCGCUGCCUUCCAUGACUGGUUCAAAUCUUGUUCAGACCAAAUGUAUGACUCUGAUGGAUUGAGUUGAAUCUGCUGCUCUCAUUCAUAC
Molecule: long non-coding RNA, 481 nt
Organism: Pogoniulus pusillus (Red-fronted tinkerbird)
Lineage: Eukaryota; Metazoa; Chordata; Aves; Piciformes; Lybiidae
Exons: 4
Source: RefSeq, a predicted model, not a curated record